GACGACGCUGGCGGCGUGGAUUAGGCAUGCAAGUCGAACGGUAGGAUACCUUCGGGUAUCCGAGAGUGGCGAACGGGUGAGUAACACGUAGGUGAUCUACCCUCAAGAUUGGGACAACCCAGGGAAACUUGGGCUAAUACCGGAUGAAAGCAGCAGUGAUGUUGUUUGAAAGGUGGCGUAAGCUGCCGUUUGGGGAUGAGCCUGCGCUCUAUUAGUUAGUUGGUGAGGUAACGGCUUACCAAGGCGAUGAUAGAUAGGCGGCCUUAACGGGUGGUCGCCCACACUGGGAUUGAGAUACGGCCCAGACUCCUACGGGAGGCAGCAGUCGAGAAUAGUCUACAAUGGUCGGAAGACUGAUAGUGCGACGCCGCGUGAACGAUGAAUCCCUUCGGGGUGUAAAGUUCUUUUAUAUGUGAGCAGUGCUUCUUAUAUUAACAGUAUGGGGAGAGAGAUAUUAGCAUAUGAAUAAGCAACGGCUAACUCCGUG
Molecule: ribosomal RNA, 487 nt
Filed under: uncultured bacterium
Lineage: Bacteria
Description: bacterial SSU rRNA
Rfam family: Bacterial small subunit ribosomal RNA
Source: RNAcentral